AAUAUUGGACAAUGGGCGCAAGCCUGAUCCAGCAAUACCACGUGUGUGAAGAAGGCCUGAGGGUUGUAAAGCACUUUUAUCAGUGAGGAAGUUGCGUAGGUUAAGAGCUAGCGUAAUUGACGUUAACUGAAGAAAAAGCACCGGCUAACUCCGUGCCAGCAGCCGCGGUAAUACGGAGGGUGCAAGCGUUAAUCGGACUUACUGGGCGUAAAGCGCACGUAGGUGGUUAGAUAAGUCGGAUGUGAAAGCCCUGGGCUCAACCUAGGAACUGCAUACGAUACUGUUUGGCUAGAGUACAGUAGAGGAUAGAGGAAUUUCCGGUGUAGCGGUGAAAUGCGUAGAUAUCGGAAGGAACAUCAGUGGCGAAGGCGUCUAUCUGGACUGAUACUGACACUGAGGAGCGAAAGCGUGGGUAGCGAACAGGAUUAGAUACCCUGGUAGUCCACGCUGUA
This 452-nucleotide ribosomal RNA is filed under the name uncultured marine bacterium. RNAcentral describes it as "bacterial SSU rRNA". It matches the Rfam family "Bacterial small subunit ribosomal RNA", at positions 360 to 804 of the family's 1533-position model. The record is from RNAcentral.